Molecule: long non-coding RNA, 697 nt
Organism: Zalophus californianus (California sea lion)
Lineage: Eukaryota; Metazoa; Chordata; Mammalia; Carnivora; Otariidae
Exons: 4
Source: RefSeq, a predicted model, not a curated record
CGUCUCUCCGCCAGCCCGGGGCUAACCGGGAACCGAGAGGGUGUCCUGAACCUCCGUUUUCAAACGGCGUGGAUUCGGACCCGCGUCCUCCUUACGCUCUGACACCGCCGUGACACGCGCUGCUGCUGUAAAAUCGGGAGCAAGGACAGUGGCGCCGCGAUGAUGCAGCGAUUCAGCCCAGUGGACAGAAAACUCUUGAAUUUCAGACUCCACAGUGAAGCAUACAGCAAUGUCACUGGGCUUGUUUAUGCCUGACCAGAACGUAAUGGCUGUGAUACACAGAGUUACCAGGUUGAGGCACUAAAGAAAAUGUUUUCUCACAGACCAAUGGUACUGUAAUUGUUGUGCUUAAGAAACCACGUGGAUCUCUACCACAUAACUGAAGAACUGAUGGAAACCGGAGACAUGAAGAUGUCUAAUCAACUGGCUUGUUUUAUAGGCAUUAGGGGCAUCUUAUUUCAAGAAGAAACCCAUCCUGAUGCAAUUUAAAUCCAUCUUGUCUUGUUUAAGCUUCAAAAAAGAGAAAACUGUACCAGGUUUCCUCUGAAUAUUUCUUGACUUGUUUUUCUCCAUCUGUAUUCAGUCACCAUCUUUCCAUGAUCCCACUGGCUGUGUUUCAUGCUACUUACGGCAUGGGAAGAGCUUAUAAAACUCAUAUUGUUAGAAAUAAAAGAAAUCCUUUAACAAUUGCCAUAGU